This 440-nucleotide ribosomal RNA is filed under the name uncultured bacterium. RNAcentral's name for it is "partial 16S ribosomal RNA". It matches the Rfam family "Bacterial small subunit ribosomal RNA", at positions 338 to 795 of the family's 1533-position model. The record is from RNAcentral.
CCUACGGGAGGCAGCAGUGGGGGAUAUUGCACAAUGGGGGGAACCCUGAUGCAGCGACGCCGCGUGGGUGAAGAAGCGCCUCGGCGCGUAAAGCCCUGUCAGCAGGGAAGAAAAUGACGGUACCUGAAGAAGAAGCCCCGGCUAACUACGUGCCAGCAGCCGCGGUAAUACGUAGGGGGCAAGCGUUAUCCGGAUUUACUGGGUGUAAAGGGGGCGCAGACGGCGAUGCAAGCCAGGAGUGAAAGCCCGGGGCCCAACCCCGGGACUGCUCUUGGAACUGCGUGGCUGGAGUGCAGGAGGGGCAGGCGGAAUUCCUGGUGUAGCGGUGAAAUGCGUAGAUAUCAGGAGGAACACCGGUGGCGAAGGCGGCCUGCUGGACUGCAACUGACGUUGAGGCCCGAAAGCGUGGGGAGCAAACAGGAUUAGAUACCCCAGUAGUC